Molecule: ribosomal RNA, 1957 nt
Filed under: human gut metagenome
Description: bacterial LSU rRNA
Rfam family: Bacterial large subunit ribosomal RNA
Source: RNAcentral
GAAAGUAAACAAGGGCGCAUGGAGGAUGCCUAGGCUCUCGGAGGCGAAGAAGGACGUGAUAAGCUGCGAAAAGUUACGGUAAGGCGCAAAUAGCCGUAGACCCGUAAAUAUCCGAAUGGGGCAACCCGGCCAGCAAUGGCCAUACCGCCAAGCGGUAAGCCAACGCGGGGAACUGAAACAUCUAAGUACCCGCAGGAAAAGAAAAUAACCAUGAUUCCGCCAGUAGUGGCGAGCGAACGCGGAACAGCCCAAACCACUCGUGUUACGGCACGAGUGGGGUAGAAGGAUCCACGAUACGGCAAGAAAUAAGUUAGCAGAAUACGAUGGAAAUCGUAGCCAAAGACGGUGACAGCCCAGUACGCGAAAACCGACAGAAGCCCAGUGGACACCUGAGUAACCCAGGACACGAGAAAUCCGGGGCGAAUCAGCGGGGCCCAUCCCGUAAGGCUAAAUACUCCCGAGAGACCGAUAGCGAACCAGUACUGUGAAGGAAAGGUGAAAAGAACCUCGAACAGAGGAGUGAAACAGACCCUGAAACCAUGCGCCUACAAGCGGUCGGAGCAUGUUAAAAUGUGACGGCGUGCCUUUUGCAUAAUGAACCUACGAGUUACUCUCGCUGGCAAGGUUAAGCGAUUCAGUCGCGCAGCCGAAGCGAAAGCAAGUCCGAAUAAGGCGUACAGUCAGCGGGAGUAGACGCGAAACCAAGUGAUCUACCCUUGGUCAGGUUGAAGGUUGGGUAACACCAACUGGAGGACCGCACCGAUAAGCGUUGAAAAGCUUACGGAUGAACUGAGGGUAGGAGUGAAAGGCCAAUCAAACUUGGAGAUAGCUCGUACUCCCCGAAAUGCAUUUAGGUGCAGCCUCGAAGCAGAGUGAUAGAGGUAGAGCGACUGAUAAGAUGCGAGGGCUUCACCGCCUAUCAAGUCUUGACAAACUCCGAAUACUAUCACUUGAUCUUUGGGAGUGAGGGCAUGGGUGCUAAGGUCCAUGUCCGAAAGAGGAACAACUCAGACCACCAGCUAAGGUCCCGAAAUAAGGGCUAAGUUGAAUAAACGAAGUAAAACUGCAAAGACAGCUAGGAUGUUGGCUUGGAAGCAGCCAUUCAUUUAAAGAGUGCGUAACAGCUCACUAGUCGAGGAGUUUUGCAUGGAUAAUAAUCGGGCAUAAGCCCUUUACCGAAGCUGUGGAUGUCGUAAGACAUGGUAGGGGAGCAUUCCGGCGGCGACGAAGGCCGUCCUCGAGGACGACUGGAGCUUUCGGAAAAGCAAAUGUAGGUAUAAGUAACGAUAAAGGGGGCGUGAAACCCCCUCGCCAUAAGACUAAGGAUUCCUGAUCAACGCUAAUCGGAUCAGGGUAAGUCGGGCCCUAAGGCGCAGCCGAACGGCGUAGCCGAUGGAAGAAACGGUAAAGAUUCCGUUACUGGAUAUAGGAGCGAUGUGGAGACGGAGAAGUGACACACCCGCCUGCCGACGGAAGCGCAGGUUAAAGGAAGUAGGUAAACGCCGGGUAGGCAAAUCCGCCUGGCGUGCCGAAGCUGACAGUAUCGAGAGCCCCCGGGCAAUCGAAUAGCGGUGGUAAUCAGGCUCCCAAGAAAAUCCGCUAAGCAAAUUCUAUAUCCACCCGUACCCCAAACGGACACACGUAGUCGGGUAGAAUAUACCAAGGCGCUCGAAAGACUCACGGUUAAGGAACUAGGCAAAUUGACCCUGUAACCUCGGGAAAAAGGGUCCCCAGUAAGAUGGGGCGCAGAGAAUAGGUCCAGGCAACUGUUUAACAAAAACACAGGGCUGUGCAAAAUUUCAAGAUGAAGUAUACAGCCUGACACCUGCCCGGUGCCGGAAGGUUAAGAGGAGAGCUAAUCGCAAGAGAAGGCUUGAAUUGAAGCCCCGGUAAACGGCGGCCGUAACUAUAACGGUCCUAAGGUAGCGAAAUUCCUUGUCGGGUAAGUUCCGACCUG